CCAGCAGCCGCGGUAAUACGAAGGGACCUAGCGUAGUUCGGAAUUACUGGGCUUAAAGAGCUCGUAGGUGGUUAAAAAAGUUGAUGGUGAAAUCCCAAGGCUCAACCUUGGAACUGCCAUCAAAACUUUUUAGCUAGAGUGUGAUAGAGGUAAGUGGAAUUUCUAGUGUAGAGGUGAAAUUCGUAGAUAUUAGAAAGAACACCAAAUGCGAAGGCAACUUACUGGGUCACUACUGACACUGAGGAGCGAAAGCAUGGGUAGCGAAGAGGAUUAGAUACCCUCGUAGUCCAUGCCGUAAACGAUGUGUGCUAGACGUUGGAAAUUUAUUUUUCAGUGUCGCAGCGAAAGCAUUAAGCACACCGCCUGGGGAGUACGACCGCAAGGUUAAAACUCAAAGGAAUUGACG
Molecule: ribosomal RNA, 406 nt
Filed under: uncultured bacterium
Lineage: Bacteria
Description: bacterial SSU rRNA
Rfam family: Bacterial small subunit ribosomal RNA
Source: RNAcentral